UACGUGGGGGGCAAGCGUUGUUCGGAAUUACUGGGCGUAAAGGGUCUGUAGGUGGCUUGCUAAGUCAGACGUGAAAUCCCUCAGCUUAACUGGGGAACUGCGUCUGAGACUGGCGAGCUUGAGGGCAGGAGAGGAACGCGGAAUUCCAGGUGUAGCGGUGAAAUGCGUAGAUAUCUGGAGGAACACCGGUGGCGAAGGCGGCGUUCUGGACUGCAUCUGACACUGAAAGACGAAAGCCAGGGGAGCAAACGGG
RNAcentral lists this ribosomal RNA (253 nucleotides) under uncultured bacterium. Its description in RNAcentral is "partial 16S ribosomal RNA". It matches the Rfam family "Bacterial small subunit ribosomal RNA", at positions 524 to 776 of the family's 1533-position model. The record is from RNAcentral.